GUGCCAGCCGCCGCGGUAACACGUAGGCACCAAGCGUUAUCCGGAUUUAUUGGGCGUAAAGAGCUCGUAGGCGGUUCGGUAAGUCGGGUGUAAAAACUCUGGGCUCAACCCAGAGACGCCAUCCGAUACUGCUGUGACUAGAGUGCGGUAGGGGAGCGGGGAAUUCAUGGUGUAGCGGUGAAAUGCGCAGAUAUCAUGAGGAACACCAGCGGCGAAGGCGCCGCUCUGGGCCGUAACUGACGCUGAGGAGCGAAAGCAUGGGUAGCAAACAGGAUUAGAUACCCGCGUAGUCC
This 293-nucleotide ribosomal RNA is filed under the name uncultured bacterium. Its description in RNAcentral is "partial 16S ribosomal RNA". It matches the Rfam family "Bacterial small subunit ribosomal RNA", at positions 505 to 796 of the family's 1533-position model. The record is from RNAcentral.